RNAcentral lists this ribosomal RNA (261 nucleotides) under uncultured bacterium. Its description in RNAcentral is "partial 16S ribosomal RNA". It matches the Rfam family "Bacterial small subunit ribosomal RNA", at positions 524 to 777 of the family's 1533-position model. The record is from RNAcentral.
UACGAAGGGGGGCUAGCGUUGUUCGGAAUCACUGGGGCGUAAAGCGCACGUAGGCGGAUCUUUAAGUCAGGGGUGAAAUCCCGAGGCUCAACCUCGGGAACUGCCUUUGAUACUGGGGGAUCUCGAGUCCGGGGAGAGGUGAGUGGAACUGCGAGUGUAGAGGUGAAAUUCGUAGAUAUUCGCAAGAACACCAGUGGCGAAGGCGGCUCACUGGCCCGGGUACUGGACGCUGAGGUGCGAAAGCGUGGGGAGCAAACAGGG